RNAcentral lists this ribosomal RNA (64 nucleotides) under Escherichia coli. RNAcentral's name for it is "partial 16S ribosomal RNA". It matches the Rfam family "Bacterial small subunit ribosomal RNA", at positions 1 to 64 of the family's 1533-position model. The record is from RNAcentral. Lineage: Bacteria; Pseudomonadati; Pseudomonadota; Gammaproteobacteria; Enterobacterales; Enterobacteriaceae.
AAAUUGAAGAGUUUGAUCAUGGCUCAGCUUGAACGCUGGCGGCGUGCCUAACACAUGCAAGUCG